GUGGAUUAGAUACCCCGGUAGUCCACGCCCUAAACGAUGUCGACUAGUUGUCGGAGGCUUGCGCCUUCGGUAACGCAGCUAACGCGUGAAGUCGACCGCCUGGGGAGUACGGUCGCAAGAUUAAAACUCAAAGGAAUUGACGGGGACCCGCACAAGCGGUGGAUGAUGUGGAUUAAUUCGAUGCAACGCGAAAAACCUUACCUACCCUUGACAUGCCAGGAACUUGCCAGAGAUGGCUUGGUGCUCGAAAGAGAACCUGGACACAGGUGCUGCACGGUUGUCGCCAGCU
This 289-nucleotide ribosomal RNA is filed under the name uncultured bacterium. RNAcentral describes it as "partial 16S ribosomal RNA". It matches the Rfam family "Bacterial small subunit ribosomal RNA", at positions 773 to 1060 of the family's 1533-position model. The record is from RNAcentral.